GAUGAACGCUGGCGGCGUGCCUAAUACAUGCAAGUCGAGCGAACAGACGAGGAGCUUGCUCCUUCGACGUUAGCGGCGGACGGGUGAGUAACACGUAGGUAACCUACCUAUAAGACUGGGAUAACUUCGGGAAACCGGAGCUAAUACCGGAUAAUAUUUCGAACCGCAUGGUUCGAUAGUGAAAGAUGGCUUUGCUAUCACUUAUAGAUGGACCUGCGCCGUAUUAGCUAGUUGGUAAGGUAACGGCUUACCAAGGCAACGAUACGUAGCCGACCUGAGAGGGUGAUCGGCCACACUGGAACUGAGACACGGUCCAGACGCCUAAGGGAGGCAGCAGUAGGGAAUCUGCCGCAAUGGGCGAAAGCCUGACGGAGCAACGCCGCGUGAGUGAUGAAGGUCUUCGGAUCGUAAAACUCUGUUAUUAGGGAAGAACAAACGUGUAAGUAACUGUGCACGUCUUGACGGUACCUAAUCAGAAAGCCACGGCUAACUACGUG
RNAcentral lists this ribosomal RNA (497 nucleotides) under uncultured bacterium. Its description in RNAcentral is "partial 16S ribosomal RNA". It matches the Rfam family "Bacterial small subunit ribosomal RNA", at positions 28 to 507 of the family's 1533-position model. The record is from RNAcentral.